GUAAAAAUAAGAAAUUAUCGAAUUGAUUUGCUCAGGCAAAAUCUGCUGGUGCAGAAA
Molecule: non-coding RNA, 57 nt
Filed under: unclassified sequences
Description: RAGATH-30 RNA
Rfam family: RAGATH-30 RNA
About the family: Environmental. Nearby to self-cleaving ribozyme genes
Source: Rfam by way of RNAcentral